UACGAGGGGUGCAAGCGUUGCUCGGAAUUAUUGGGCGUAAAGGGUAGGUAGGUGGUCUGAUUUGUCUGGGGUGAAAGCCUUGAGCUUAACUCAAGAAGUGCCCCAGAAACGGUCAGACUCGAGUCCUGGAGAGGGUCGUGGAAUUCCCGGUGUAGCGGUGAAAUGCGUAGAGAUCGGGAGGAACACCAGUGGCGAAGGCGGCGACCUGGACAGGUACUGACACUCAACUACGAAAGCGUGGGGAGCAAACAGG
This 253-nucleotide ribosomal RNA is filed under the name uncultured bacterium. RNAcentral describes it as "partial 16S ribosomal RNA". It matches the Rfam family "Bacterial small subunit ribosomal RNA", at positions 524 to 776 of the family's 1533-position model. The record is from RNAcentral.